RNAcentral lists this ribosomal RNA (2759 nucleotides) under Gemmataceae bacterium. RNAcentral's name for it is "bacterial LSU rRNA". It matches the Rfam family "Bacterial large subunit ribosomal RNA". The record is from RNAcentral. Lineage: Bacteria; Pseudomonadati; Planctomycetota; Planctomycetia; Gemmatales; Gemmataceae.
CCAAGCUAGUAAGGGCGUGUGGGGGAUGUCUAGGCGCCAGGAGGCUGAAGGGCGUGGAAGACUGCGAAAAGUCCGGGGGAGCUGCCAAACGAGCUUUGAUCCCGGAAUACCCGAGCCAACCCGGGGAACUGAAACAUCUCAUUACCCGGCGGAAGGGAAAGAAACCUCGACUCCGUCAGUAGCGGCGAGCGAACGCGGAAGAGCCUAAACCAGCGGGGCAACUCGCUGGGGUUGUAGGACUGCUAAAUCGACCCGAGACCAUAGUCAAACGGCGCGGAAUCGCCGGCCAUAGCGGGUGAAAGCCCCUUAGACGACAGGGUUGGAGGCGUGGCAGGAUCCUGAGUACGACUCAACACGUGAAAGUGAGUCCGAAUCUGCGGGGCCCAUCCCGCAAGGCUAAGUACUCCCUGGCGACCGAUAGCGAAGAGUAGCGCGAGCGAAAGAUGGGAAGAACCCCGAAAGGGGAGGACACUGAACCUGAAACCACACGCCUACAAGCGGUGGGAGGGCUAUGCCCGUAAGGGAAUGCCUGACCGCGUGCCUUUUGCAUAAUGAUCCGGCGACUUACCGUCACCAGCAAGGUUAAGCGGCUUUGCCGCGUAGCCGAAGGGAAACCGAGUCUCAAAUGGGCGUCGAGUUGGCGGCGGUAGACGCGAAACCACGUGACCUACGCAUGGCCAGGACGAAGGUGAGGUAACACUCACUGGAAGACCGAACUCACUAGUGUUGAAAAACUAGGGGAUGAGCUGUGUGGGGGAGUGAAAGUCUAAUCAAACGUGGAGAUAGCUCGUUCUCUCCGAAAUAACUUUAGGGUUAGCGUCCAACUAGUUGGCAGGGGGGGUAGAGCGACUGAUUCCGAACGGGGGCCUACCCGGCUACCCGUCGGAGCCAAACUCCGAAUACCCCUGUACCAAGGUCGGGCAGCUAGACGGUGGGGGAUAAGCUUCAUCGUCGAGAGGGGAACAACCCAGACCACCCGCUAAGGUCCCCGAGUCGUGCUCAGUGCGUAAGGAAGUUGGACCCCCGGGACAGCCGGGAUGUUGGCUUAGAAGCAGCCACCAUUUAAAAAGUGCGUAAUAGCUUACCGGUCGAGGGGUUCUGCGCCGAUAAUGAACGGGACUCAAGCACGACACCGAAGCGGUGGGUGUGGUAACACACGGUAGGAGAGCGUUGCGCGUGCGGCGAAGGAGUACGGAUAACGAGCUCUGGAGCGCGUGCAAGUGAUUAUGCCGGAACGAGUAGACGAUAAAACGGGUGAGAAUCCCGUUCGCCGUAAGCCUAAGGUUUCCUGGGGAAGGUAAAUCCGCCCAGGGUUAGCCGGUGCCUAACACAAGGCCGAGAGGCGUAGUGGAUGGGGAGCAGGUUAAUAUUCCUGCGCUCCCCACGCAAAACGGGACGCCGGUAAGAAGUGGGGUAGGCUAACUAGAUUGCCUCAGGGCUUUUAUGAUCCCGAUACCCACUGACGACCGGCCAAGAAAACCGCGUGGGAAACCGUACUAAAACCGACACAGGUAGGCGAGAUGAGUAUUCUAAGGCGCUCGAGAGAACGCUCGUGAAGGAACUCUGCAAAUUAACCCCGUAACUUCGGGAAAAGGGGUGCCCACUUUGUGGGCCGCAGCGAAAAGGGUCUAGCGACUGUUUACUAAAAACACAGGUCUGUGCGAAGGCGUAAGCCGCGGUAUACAGACUGACGCCUGCCCGGUGCCGGUAAGUUAAGGAAGGGGGUUAGCCGUAAGGUGAAGCCCGCGACUGAAGCUCCGGUAAACGGCGGCCGUAACUAUGACGGUCCUAAGGUAGCGAAGUUCCUUGUCGGGUAAGUUCCGACCUGCAUGAAUGGCGUAACGACUGGACCACUGUCUCCACGAGCGACUCGGUGAAACUGUAGUUGUCGUGAAGAUGCGACAUACCCGCAGCUAGACGGAAAGACCCCGUGAACCUUAACUGUAGCUUGGUAUUGGGUUUAGGCCCGGCAUGCGUAGCGUAGGUGGGACUCCGUGAACCGGGACUUUCGGGUCCCGGGGAGAGGCCGAUGAAACACCACCCUUGCCGUGCUUGAAUUCUAACCCGGACUGGUGAACCCCAGCCGGGGACCGUGCUAAGUGGGCAGUUUGAUUGGGGCGAUCUCCUCCCAAACGGUAACGGAGGAGUCCAAAGGUACCCUCAGCCCGGUUGGCAAUCGGGCAACGAGCGUAAAGGUAGAAGGGUGCUUGACUGCGAGUGGGAUGCCACGAGCAGGGACGAAAGUCGGGCUUAGUGAUCCGGUGGUCCCGUAUGGAAGGGCCAUCGCUCAACAGAUAAAAGGUACUCCGGGGAUAACAGGCUUAUCUCCUCUGAGCGUUCAUAGCGGCGAGGAGGUUUGGCACCUCGAUGUCGGCUCAUCACAUCCUGGGGGUGGAGAAGCUCCCAAGGGUUCGGCUGUUCGCCGAUGAAAGUGGUACGUGAGCUGGGUUUAGACCGUCGUGAGACAGGUCGGUCCCUAUCUGCUGCGGGCGGAGGAGACUCGCGAGGCUUCCUCCCUAGUACGAGAGGACUGGGAGGGACGCACCUCUGGUGUUCCAGUUGUCGCGCUAGCGGCACCGCUGGGUAGCCACGUGCGGAACGGAUAAACGCUGAAGGCAUAUAAGCGUGAAACUCCCCUCAAGAUCAGGUCUCCAGUUGAAAAACGAAGGCUCCCGGGAGACCACCGGGUCGAUAGGCCGGAUGUGUAAGCCUAGUAAUAGGCUCAGCGGACCGGUACUAACAGCCGAGCGUUUGGCCGC